Molecule: ribosomal RNA, 496 nt
Filed under: uncultured bacterium
Lineage: Bacteria
Description: partial 16S ribosomal RNA
Rfam family: Bacterial small subunit ribosomal RNA
Source: RNAcentral
GACGAACGCUGGCGGCGUGCUUAACACAUGCAAGUCGAACGGUAAGGCCCUUCGGGGUACACGAGUGGCGAACGGGUGAGUAAUGUAUCGGAACGUGCCCAGUCGUGGGGGAUAACGUAGUGAAAAUUACGCUAAUACCGCAUAUGAUCUAUGGAUGAAAGCGGGGGAUCGCAAGACCUCGCGCGAUUGGAGCGGCCGAUAUCAGAUUAGGUAGUUGGCAGGGUAAAGGCCUACCAAGCCAACGAUCUGUAGCUGGUCUGAGAGGACGACCAGCGACACUUGAACUGAGACACGUGCCAGACUCCUACGGGAGGCAGCAGUGGGGAAUUUUGGACAAUGGGCGAAAGCCUGAUCCAGCCAUUCCGCGUGCAGGAUGAAUGCCAUCGGGUUGUAAACUGCUUUUGUACAGAACGAAAAGGUUUCUAUUAAUACUUGGAGCUCAUGACGGUACUGUAAGAAUAAGCACCGGCUAACUACGUGCCAGCCGCCGCCGUAA